GACGAACGCUGGCGGCGUGCCUAAUACAUGCAAGUAGAACGCUGAAGAGAGGAGCUUGCUCUUCUUGGAUGAGUUGCGAACGGGUGAGUAACGCGUAGGUAACCUGCCUUGUAGCGGGGGAUAACUAUUGGAAACGAUAGCUAAUACCGCAUAACAAUGGAUGACCCAUGCCAUUUAUUUGAAAGGGGCAAAUGCUCCACUACAAGAUGGACCUGCGUUGUAUUAGCUAGUAGGUGAGGUAACGGCUCACCUAGGCGACGAUACAUAGCCGACCUGAGAGGGUGAUCGGCCACACUGGGACUGAGACACGGCCCAGACUCCUACGGGAGGCAGCAGUAGGGAAUCUUCGGCAAUGGGGGCAACCCUGACCGAGCAACGCCGCGUGAGUGAAGAAGGUUUUCGGAUCGUAAAGCUCUGUUGUAAGUCAAGAACGAGUGUGAGAGUGGAAAGUUCACACUGUGACGGUAGCUUACCAGAAAGGGACGGCUAACUACGUGCCAGCAGCCGCGGUAGUACGUAGGUCCCGAGCGUUGUCCGGAUUUAUUGGGCGUAAAGCGAGCGCAGGCGGUUUGAUAAGUCUGAAGUUAAAGGCUGUGGCUCAACCAUAGUUCGCUUUGGAAACUGUCAAACUUGAGUGCAGAAGGGGAGAGUGGAAUUCCAUGUGUAGCGGUGAAAUGCGUAGAUAUAUGGAGGAACACCGGUGGCGAAAGCGGCUCUCUGGUCUGUAACUGACGCUGAGGCUCGAAAGCGUGGGGAGCGAACAGGAUUAGAUACCCUGGUAGUCCACGCCGUAAACGAUGAGUGCUAGGUGUUGGAUCCUUUCCGGGAUUCAGUGCCGCAGCUAACGCAUUAAGCACUCCGCCUGGGGAGUACGACCGCAAGGUUGAAACUCAAAGGAAUUGACGGGGGCCCGCACAAGCGGUGGAGCAUGUGGUUUAAUUCGAAGCAACGCGAAGAACCUUACCAGGUCUUGACAUCCCGAUGCUAUUUCUAGAGAUAGAAAGUUACUUCGGUACAUCGGUGACAGGUGGUGCAUGGUUGUCGUCAGCUCGUGUCGUGAGAUGUUGGGUUAAGUCCCGCAACGAGCGCAACCCCUAUUGUUAGUUGCCAUCAUUCAGUUGGGCACUCUAGCGAGACUGCCGGUAAUAAACCGGAGGAAGGUGGGGAUGACGUCAAAUCAUCAUGCCCCUUAUGACCUGGGCUACACACGUGCUACAAUGGUUGGUACAACGAGUUGCGAGUCGGUGACGGCAAGCUAAUCUCUUAAAGCCAAUCUCAGUUCGGAUUGUAGGCUGCAACUCGCCUACAUGAAGUCGGAAUCGCUAGUAAUCGCGGAUCAGCACGCCGCGGUGAAUACGUUCCCGGGCCU
Molecule: ribosomal RNA, 1369 nt
Filed under: uncultured bacterium
Lineage: Bacteria
Description: bacterial SSU rRNA
Rfam family: Bacterial small subunit ribosomal RNA
Source: RNAcentral